RNAcentral lists this long non-coding RNA (1670 nucleotides) under Scleropages formosus (Asian bonytongue). RNAcentral describes it as "lncRNA (ENSSFOG00015032399.1)". The record is from RNAcentral. Lineage: Eukaryota; Metazoa; Chordata; Actinopteri; Osteoglossiformes; Osteoglossidae.
GAAAGAAGCACUGAGCAUGCUCCGUGCAUGCGCAUGCCAACCCAGCCAUCCCCUGGGGGGACCGAGAUCAUUCUCCAGUGUGGUUACCUCUGUGGAAGGGCUUGGCGUUACAUCAGCCUUGUGGUGCCAUUAACCCGUUUCUAUCAUGGUCUAAAUGUGUUGCAGUGGAUAUGCAACAGGUGGUGUAGUGGUUAAAGCACCGCCUUACAGCCCAAGGACCCUCGUUUGAAUCCCACCUCCUGGUGUACUGUCCUUGAUCCAGGUAAUUACCCUGAACUGAUGCAGUGAAAUUACCCUGCUAUAUACUGUAAAAGGGUGGAUCAGUGUAAGCUGCUUUGGUGAAAAGUGUCAGUGUAAUAAAUAAAUGUGAGUGUGUGUCAGGAAGUGUGUGUGACGCGAGAUCAGUGCAACGUGAGGCAACCGCAAGCUGAGCGCAUUCCUGAACGGCCUGCGCUUUACAGUCCCGUGCGCCUGUCCUGUUGUCUUGGACCUCAUGUGGCCCGCUUGGUUGACGGAGCCCUGAGGGACUGGACUCCCUCGCAGUGACCCAGUGCAGACGAGCGAUUUGACGUCCGAAACCUCGCUGGCGACGAGCCGUUGCGCAGGCGCACGUGGGCGUUAGCGGAGCCGCUCUGGUGGUCUCGUGCGCUGGUCUGCGAGCACAGAAAAGCUCGGCAAAGAUUGCAGAUUCCUGUAUUCUUCUUCCAGGGAUUACCACAAUGCCCUCUCCCCGUACCCUCUGGGGAAGGCGAAUGAAGCCAGAAACGUCGAGGUGGAACAUCCAAGUUUUCCCUGUCUGCAAGAUCAAUUAACCUGCACUUCCCAGCAGCGCAGGACAGGACAGUGGAGAACCUUCACCUUAGAAGGAGCUCUGAGGUCUCUGAGUCACCUCAAAGGAAAUAAGCAUCUGAAGUUCGAAAAAAAUGAAUAAUAACCUUGAAACAAAAGAAAUGCUUCCUCUUGGAGCUCUUCCCGACAUCUGGACUUCCCUCAGAUUAAACGUCCAUGAAAAGACGAAAACCGGAAACCGUUCGUCAGGCAACGGCGUGACCUCCCUCUGCCAAAACCAACAAGGCCGUGAGCGCGGAGCUCGUUCGGCAAAGGCCGACUGCAAUGUGCUACGAUAUUUAGCGACGCUUGAAGAUCGGAUCUCCUGUCUCGAUUUAAAUGCCAAGGUAAAAUGGGAUACCCUGUACCUCAUGCUGCUCCAUCCCUCGUGGUCCCCAGUCUUGUUCUCCAUGGUUCUGCCAAAGAACAUAUCGACGUGAUCUUUACGUGAAACUGGACAUCCGAACUCGAGAGCAGCAGACUGCGGUGGUGCUCAUCGUGGAUGAAGGUCAAAUACUCCGGCGCUAUUCGUCACUUAAGUGUUCCUGGGCAUUCGGUGGACAGCGAAGGACAGUGAAGCGGAACACCUUCCUACACAGACAGACAUGAGAAUUUGCAUCUUCCACAAUUUACUCCAUGCUGUACGACUAUUCAAACCUCUCUUUCAUAGAGCUCAGUGCCCUACUGGAAUUAUCUGUAAUUAUUCUUCAUUGCACUAGAGUAACAGUGGCAUUAUUGGUAUUAUGAGAUGCGUUAUAACAUCAACAGCCGUUGCAUAUAUAAUGCCAACAAAUCUUCACGCAAUCAUCAUCAAAUUGUGAAAAAAAGCUCCCAACAUUUUA